This 433-nucleotide unclassified non-coding RNA is filed under the name soil metagenome. Its description in RNAcentral is "partial contains 5.8S ribosomal RNA, internal transcribed spacer 2, and large subunit ribosomal RNA". The stretch from base 1 to 120 matches the Rfam family "5.8S ribosomal RNA", at positions 35 to 154 of the family's 154-position model. The record is from RNAcentral.
GAUGAAGAACGCAGCGAAAUGCGAUACGUAAUGUGAAUUGCAGAAUUCAGUGAAUCAUCGAAUCUUUGAACGCAUAUUGCGCUCUCUGGUAUUCCGGAGAGCAUGCUUGUUUGAGUAUCAGUAAACACCUCAACUUCCAUAUCUUUUUUGAAAUGGGAGUUGGACUUGAGUGAUCCCAACGCUUUUCCUCACCGAAAAGUGGCGGGUUACUUGAAAUGCAGGUGCAGCUGGACUUUUCUCUGGGCUAUAAGCAUAUCUAUUUAGUCUGCCUAAAAAACAGAUUAUUACCUUUGCUGCAGCUAACAUAAAGGAGAUUAGUUCUUGUGCUGACUGAUGCAGGAUUCACAAAGACAGGCUUCGGCCGACUUUGUAAACUCGAUCUCAAAUCAAGUAAGACUACCCGCUGAACUUAAGCAUAUCAAUAAGCGGAGGA